CCUCAACGGGGAGGCGCUUCCAACGCGACCCCAGGUCAGGCGGGAUUACCCGCUGAAUUUAAGCAUAUCAAUAA
Molecule: ribosomal RNA, 74 nt
Filed under: Pilea insolens
Lineage: Eukaryota; Viridiplantae; Streptophyta; Magnoliopsida; Rosales; Urticaceae
Also listed under: 1 other name
Description: partial 28S ribosomal RNA
Source: RNAcentral